AUACGGAGGAUGCGAGCGUUAUCCGGAUUUAUUGGGUUUAAAGGGUGCGUAGGCUGUGCGUUAAGUCAGGGGUGAAAUGCCGUCGCUCAACGACGGAGCUGCCCUUGAUACUGGCGUGCUGGAGUACGGAUGCCGUUGGAGGAAUGAGUGGUGUAGCGGUGAAAUGCUUAGAUAUCACUCAGAACACCGAUUGCGAAGGCAUCUGACGAAUCCGUCACUGACGCUGAGGCACGAAAGCGUGGGGAUCAAACAGGCUUAGAUACCCUGGUAGUCCACGCUGUAAACGAUGAUGACUAACUGUCGGCGAUAUACAGUCGGUAGCCAAGCGAAAGCGAUAAGUCAUCCACCUGGGGAGUACGACCGCAAGGUUGAAACUCAAAUGAAUUGACGGGG
Molecule: ribosomal RNA, 393 nt
Filed under: uncultured bacterium
Lineage: Bacteria
Description: partial 16S ribosomal RNA
Rfam family: Bacterial small subunit ribosomal RNA
Source: RNAcentral